RNAcentral lists this long non-coding RNA (1555 nucleotides) under Linum usitatissimum (flax). RNAcentral describes it as "long non-coding RNA (LUSI_LNC004411)". Lineage: Eukaryota; Viridiplantae; Streptophyta; Magnoliopsida; Malpighiales; Linaceae. The record is from RNAcentral.
AUGAUUUCAAGCUCUUCAGAUUGCUGAGCUCUGAGGGGAGAAGACCGGUGAGGGAAUUGACUUGGAGGAACAAUGUGUCGAGGUUUUGGAGGUUGCCGAUCUCCGGCGGGAUUUCGCCGGAGAGGUUGCAGUUCGCGACGUCGAGGCGGAUUAAGUUCGUUAGGUUUCCGAUCUCGGCAGGCAAGCUGCUUUGGUAACUGUUGUAGUACCCGAGGUAGAGCUGUUUGAGGCUGGUUAGGUUUCCGAUCUCCGGCGGGAUUCUUCCGACUAGCUCGUUACCGGAGAGAGCGAGGUACUCGAUGAACUCCCACUGUCCGUACUGCGGCGGGAUCUCCCCGCCGAAGAAGUUCCCUCCGAGGUGGAGGUGGCGGAGGUUGGGCAUUUCAGCGACGGCGAGAGGCAAGUCACCGGUCAUAUUGUUGUUGUAGAUGUCGAGUACCUCGAGGUUCUUGAGCUGGGCUAGCUGCGAGGGGAAAGUAUCAUUAAACCCAUUGUUGGAGAGAUUGAGGUAGCGGAGGUCGGUGGCGGCGGAGAGCUGCGGCGGGAUGGGGCCAGAGAAUUUGUUGACGUCGAGGGAGAGGUUCUGGAGGUAGCGGAGGUGGGAGAUAUCCGGGGAGAGGGUUCCCGUGAGGGAGAGGCUAGAGAGGUCUAAUGAGGUCACGUGACGGCUGGAGAAGUCGCACGUGACUCCCGGCCAGGAGCAGAGGUCGGCGGAGGAGUUCCAGGCGGAAAGGAAGGAGUUUGGGUCGUCGGUGACGGCGGAUUUUAGGGAGAGUAGAGCUUGGGUUUCGGAUAAUACGCGGCCGGUGGAAGUUGGGAUGUGGAGGUGGAUGAGGAGGAAGAAGAAGAGGAGAGGGUAAAGGAGUCUCAUCGUAGAUUGAGAAGAACACCUCACACUGCCCGUCCGGCGGGGGGAUCUCCCCGCCGAAGAAGUUCCCUCCGAGGUGGAGGUGGCGGAGGUUGGGCAUUUCAGCGACGGCGAGAGGCAAGUCACCGGUCAUAUUGUUGUUGUAGAUGUCGAGUACCUCGAGGUUCUUGAGCUGGGCUAGCUGCGAGGGGAAAGUAUCAUUAAACCCAUUGUUGGAGAGAUUGAGGUAGCGGAGGUCGGUGGCGGCGGAGAGCUGCGGCGGGAUGGGGCCAGAGAAUUUGUUGACGUCGAGGGAGAGGUUCUGGAGGUAGCGGAGGUGGGAGAUAUCCGGGGAGAGGGUUCCCGUGAGGGAGAGGCUAGAGAGGUCUAAUGAGGUCACGUGACGGCUGGAGAAGUCGCACGUGACUCCCGGCCAGGAGCAGAGGUCGGCGGAGGAGUUCCAGGCGGAAAGGAAGGAGUUUGGGUCGUCGGUGACGGCGGAUUUUAGGGAGAGUAGAGCUUGGGUUUCGGAUAAUACGCGGCCGGUGGAAGUUGGGAUGUGGAGGUGGAUGAGGAGGAAGAAGAAGAGGAGAGGGUAAAGGAGUCUCAUCGUAGAUUGAGAAGAACUAAUCGCCGCCGGAGACGGCGGAGGGAGGAGGAGGAGGAGGAGGAAGAGGAUGAUGAAGAAGGUAAGUGAGAAGAGUGAGG